Long non-coding RNA from Scatophagus argus, 2995 nucleotides. RefSeq lists it as uncharacterized. The record is from RefSeq and is a predicted model, not a curated record. The transcript is spliced from 12 exons. NCBI's taxonomy places the organism in Eukaryota, Metazoa, Chordata, Actinopteri, Scatophagidae.
CAUUCAGCCAGCUUCUUUCCUGUAAUAUUCUUUUGUAUUACAAACUUUCUGGUAAAUGAAUAUGAUUGGAAGAGCAUUGCCCUCUCUCCCUCAAAUUAACAAUAGCCAAUGAGUUCUACUGUCUCCAACGAGAGGAAAAUACAAAAGUGAGGAAGGACACUCUGUGCUGCCUUUUUUUCUGUCUGGAAGGGGGUGUUUCAGGAUCUAAUUGAUGAAUAGCAGCUAUAACUGGGAGCUGCGUCCUUCAAUUGAACUUUAAUUCAUAUGUGCAUCAAUCAUUUUCCCCCCUUUUACAACAUAAUGGAUACUCACAGCUCUGAUUACUGUGCAUUUUGUCCUUGUGAUGCGGUGUAUGUGUGUGUGUGUGUGUAAGAAAGCAAGAACACUGAUUUUUCAUUGGAAAUGGUAAACACGAUACAGGGAAAUCUUCCUCUUUCUUUUUCUGUCCCUUGCUCUCUCUCCCUCUGUCUCCAUUAUGAAGUAAACAGGGCCUCAGCUGUGCUCUUUGCACACCCCACCACUCAAAUAUUGAAUUUUUUUGUCCUUCAUGGAGACAAACCAAAGCAAUGUGAAAGGGACUGCAGCAGUCUGCGGGAAAACAGAGAGAGACUAUGUGUGUGUGUGUGUGUGUGUUUGUAUUAAUGAAAAACCUGGUCCUCAAGGUAAAUCAUUAAAUUUCAGGGAUAAAGCUGUAGUGGAGGACUUUAACAUAUAAAUGAACGCCUGUUGUAUUCAAUCCCUCGCCAAACUGGGCCACUGGGCCUGAGUUGACCCCCUGCUUGGCCUAUGCACACAGGCUCCAACAGAGAUAUCUCUCUUCUGAAUUGGAAAUAACGAAAAGGGAUCAUCGACAAAUGUCUUCAUCAGAAAUGGAGCUGGUGCUUACUUCUCCUGUGGAGGCCAUCUCACAGCGAAGGACGGGGUCUGCAUCCCUCAGUCGUGGCCAGGAGAACAUGGGUGCCUGGAGAAAGCAAGGAAGGGAAGAGGGUGGCGUGUUUCCAGAAUGUAUGUGACUGUCACAAUAACAAAGGCUCUGCAACCACAACAUCCUACCAACACGUACAGACACUACUUCCACAUCUCCCUAUCCCACACCGACCGCCCACCCCUAAGAGACAUUAGAGUUGUGAAGCUCCACAACAUGAACAAUGUUAUCUUGGGGCACCAGCUGAGCUCCAGCAGAGAAGGAAAUGAAUAAAUGUUUUCCCUGAAAGUAAAUGGACCUCACAGCAGAUCCAGCAGCAUCUUGUUACUCUGUUGCACCCGUCAUUAGCAAUUGCCAAGAGGGGGAAAAUUUUAACAGGAACCAAGGUGUCGUAAUGCAAAGGUGGGAGCACUUCCUGGACUCAAGGUUACAGAAGCAACCCAGAUGUGUCGUAGUUCAGACAGAGAAGGAGAUGAAGGCUAACAGGGAGCUGAGAGCCCUCCAUGGGGCUUGGGCUACCCCGAGAUCAUCUAGUAUACUGGAGAAGACGGAGCGCUCCUCAGCCCGGUCAAUCUGCAAGGGGCUCGUCCCCAGAAUCUUCACCCCGUUCAGGUGUAGUGGGGCGGCCAGGUUGUUGGGUAUCUGGCCUCCCACUGACACAAUACUGCCGGAGCAACCCUGGAAAGGAGAGGAUGGAAAAAGAAGAAUGUGCAAGAUUAAAUAAAAAAAGAGCAUAGAACAGCAGAGACCACAUACCUGACCGUGAUAGGUACAAUACAGGUAGUUGGUCAUGGCUGGAUACUCUGCUGCCAAGGUGUCAAUCUGAGAGGGGUCAGAGAAAGUGAAGAGAGGGGCAGUUAUCUAUCUGUCUGUCUAUCUGGCCUACGCUGGGAGCUCCAAGAGGUUCCUGCUCACCUGUUUGACCCAGGGUUUGAUGCCAUGACUGAGUCUCAGCUCUCUGGCUGCUCUCUCACUGGAACCCAGAAUCUGACCGACCUGCCGGUCUGAGAAGCCGUCCUGCUUUGCCUUCAGCAGCAGCCCCUUGGGCACUGUGUCACUGUGGGAGCAGACAUGUUUUCCAUCGGUGGCCCCUUCUCAUCUGUGUAUUUUCAAGUCCACUGAACUAAGAGGGUCAAUCCAACAAGCAGGUCAUGAUAGGCUCUGCUACCCAGCAGUGUGGACGGCAGGGGGCGGCCCACCUCAGAGCGAUCAAUAACACAUCGACAAACAAGGCGCCAAGGUGCCAGAGCAGCAGAUAAAAGCAAGUCUAAGCCCUGGAGUUUAUUGCAAAGAAAAGAAAACGGACAAAGCACUAGCAGAUCCAGCACUCCUAUGCAUAGAAACAAUGAGCCUGCUGAGCAGCAGAGCCUGAAGCCCACCUGCUCUCAGCUCUACGCUCCAUCAGUCUGGCAGCAGCCUACUGCUCUGUGCCCAUCACUAUGUCCCCUGCUCCAGAAGCGGUGGAGACUACAACAGCCUUCCACGUGUCAGCGCGUUGCAGCCGGCGCCCACCAGACGGCCAGCCAUUAAUUAUUAAACAGUUGAGUCAGGAGAACUGGCGGCCGAGCCAUGAAGAUUCACGGUGGCUGACCAGGUAAGAACCCGAGGGCAGAGAGAGAGGGAGACAGCUGAGACGAGACGAAGCACGAGGAAGAAAGCAACAGAGACGUGAAGGGACUGGAGUCCGCUGUGUUUUCAUUUCUAUUGAAAGAUGAUUCUGUCAGUCUAAGAAAAACAAAACAAAGUCCUAAUAUAUUUAUCCUUUUCUAAUUCCUGCAGACACAGACUGAAGCUUUGUUAAUGGGACAGGGGGAUCUUCGGUACACAAACAGUGCUGUGGGAGGAAGUAAAUGCUGCAUAUGAGUCGGGAAAACCUGCAGGGCGAGUGCAAGACUGAAAAAACAGUCCUGCGUAGACAAGAAACAGACUUGUAGCUAUAAAACCAUUAAACAAGCUAUGGAUGCAGAACUUACACAUAUGUUCACAUCUAUAUUUAACAGGAGGAAAUACCAAUAUUCAUAAAGUGGAUUACUGUGUGCUGUUAAAGUUGUCAGGAUCCUGCUCCAAACC